GAGCGGAUGAAGGGAGCUUGCUCCCUGAUUUACGGCGGACGGGUGAGUAAUGCCUAGGAAUCUGCCUGGUAGUGGGGGAUAACGUUCCGAAAGGAACGCUAAUACCGCAUACGUCCUACGGGAGAAAGCAGGGGACCUUCGGGCCUUGCGCUAUCAGAUGAGCCUAGGUCGGAUUAGCUAGUUGGUGAGGUAAUGGCUCACCAAGGCGACGAUCCGUAACUGGUCUGAGAGGAUGAUCAGUCACACUGGAACUGAGACACGGUCCAGACUCCUACGGGAGGCAGCAGUGGGGAAUAUUGGACAAUGGGCGAAAGCCUGAUCCAGCCAUGCCGCGUGUGUGAAGAAGGUCUUCGGAUUGUAAAGCACUUUAAGUUGGGAGGAAGGGCGUUUGGCUAAUAUCCAAGCGUUUUGACGUUACCGACAGAAUAAGCACCGGCUAACUUCGUGCCAGCAGCCGCGGUAAUACGAAGGGUGCAAGCGUUAAUCGGAAUUACUGGGCGUAAAGCGCGCGUAGGUGGUUCGUUAAGUUGGAUGUGAAAGCCCCGGGCUCAACCUGGGAACUGCAUCCAAAACUGGCGAGCUAAAGUACGGUAGAGGGUAGUGGAAUUUCCUGUGUAGCGGUGAAAUGCGUAGAUAUAGGAAGGAACACCAGUGGCGAAGGCGACUACCUGGACUGAUACUGACACUGAGGUGCGAAAGCGUGGGGAGCAACAGGAUUAGAUACCCUGGUAGUCCACGCCGUAAACGAUGUCAACUAGCCGUUGGGUUCCUUGAG
This 775-nucleotide ribosomal RNA is filed under the name Ectopseudomonas oleovorans. RNAcentral describes it as "bacterial SSU rRNA". It matches the Rfam family "Bacterial small subunit ribosomal RNA", at positions 64 to 836 of the family's 1533-position model. Lineage: Bacteria; Pseudomonadati; Pseudomonadota; Gammaproteobacteria; Pseudomonadales; Pseudomonadaceae. The record is from RNAcentral.